UCACCCAGCUGUUAUGCCGCUUCUGCCUGCAAGAUGAGAAAGACACCUCCCCUCCCCAGGAGAGUCUCCGAGUCUGGGCCUUGCCACUCCUCACUCAGCAUCUGACCAUCCCCACCUCCUGGAUCUACAGGGUUCAUAGAGGAGGACCCAGAAGAGGGAAAGUCAGGCUGAGGAACAUGGCCUCCCUGCUGCAAGGGAAAUGACAUCGGUUACCAAGGAGGUGACCUGCUAUCCUUUUCCAAGACUGAAAAGCAGAAAUAUGGCCUGAGCCUAGAGGGUCUAAGAGAACAAUAGGAAGAAUUUCCUGACAAAGGACAAUGUUGCCUAAAGGACCCAUGAAGCUCCGUGAAAAUAGGAGACUCCUGAGCACCAGACCCUUCUCCACCAGGCAGUGUUUUUCCCAUAUGACAGGUGAGAAAACUGAGGCUGAGAGACAUGUAAUAACUUGCUGAAGCAGUAACCAGCACGCCAUAUAGCUGAAAUCUGUAGAUCAGCAGUUAAAAGUGGCAGGGCAAGUCCUCUCUGACUUUCAGCUCUAAGAGCCUAGGAUUGUGUGUUUUUCUGCUUAAGCCUGGGAAUCAGAGUCCUACAAAAGCCGCGCCUAAUCCUGGGGGUGUGGGCUUUAAGCCUAGAGAGAAAGCAUGUUAUUGGAAUACUCAUGCACUUUUCUCCCUUUGAAUCCCACC
This 686-nucleotide long non-coding RNA is filed under the name Pongo abelii (Sumatran orangutan). RNAcentral's name for it is "lincRNA". Lineage: Eukaryota; Metazoa; Chordata; Mammalia; Primates; Hominidae. The record is from RNAcentral.